RNAcentral lists this ribosomal RNA (137 nucleotides) under uncultured eukaryote. Its description in RNAcentral is "partial 18S ribosomal RNA". It matches the Rfam family "Eukaryotic small subunit ribosomal RNA", at positions 1299 to 1458 of the family's 1831-position model. The record is from RNAcentral.
UGGUGGAGUGAUUUGUCUGGUUAAUUCCGAUAACGAACGAGACCUUAACCUGCUAAAUAGUCGCGUCAACUCCGGUUGAUAGUGACUUCUUAGAGGGACAAACCAUGUUUAAUGGUUGGAAGUUUGAGGCAAUAACA